GAUGAACGCUGGCGGCGUGCCUAAUACAUGCAAGUCGAGCGAACAGACGAGAGUGCUUGCACUCUCUGACGUUAGCGGCGGACGGGUGAGUAACACGUGGGUAACCUACCUAUAAGACUGGGAUAACUUCGGGAAACCGGAGCUAAUACCGGAUAAUAUUUAGCUUCGCAUGAAGCAAUAGUGAAAGACGGUUCUGCUGUCACUUAUAGAUGGACCCGCGGUGUAUUAGCUAGUUGGUGAGGUAACGGCUCACCAAGGCAACGAUACAUAGCCGGCCUGAGAGGGUGAUCGGCCACACUGGGACUGAGACACGGCCCAGACUCCUACGGGAGGCAGCAGUAGGGAAUCUUCCGCAAUGGACGAAAGUCUGACGGAGCAAUGCCGCGUGAGUGAAGAAGGUUUUCGGAUCGUAAAACUCUGUUGUAAGGGAAGAGCAAGUACGUUAGUAACUGAACGUACCUUGACGGUACCUUACCAGAAAGCCACGGCUAACUACGUG
This 499-nucleotide ribosomal RNA is filed under the name uncultured bacterium. RNAcentral describes it as "partial 16S ribosomal RNA". It matches the Rfam family "Bacterial small subunit ribosomal RNA", at positions 28 to 507 of the family's 1533-position model. The record is from RNAcentral.